GUAGGUGAACCUGCGGAAGGAUCAUUAACACAUCAAUUUCAAUUCAUACCUUCGUUGCACAGAAUGAUACCGCGAGAGUGACGUCUGAGAGCGCUAUGGUGCGAGCCCUCGAUUUGCUUCGAGGGCUGGUUCUCUUGGACUGCUGCCGGGUGUGUCCGGGCCUUCGCUGCUUAGGAUGCACGCAGUCGCUGAGGGCAAAAACCUUCGGUGACCAGCGGCCAAAAUCACUGUUGUCGGUAAUUCAGCCUCCCCCAUGGCUGGCCCUUUUUUUUUUACUUUUAACCUGAACUUUGAACUGAUUUCGGCUUCGGAUCGAGAGGAGCAAUCCUUUCUCUGAGGUCUUCGGAUAUUGAAUCCAAAACACAACUCUUAACAGCGGAUAUCUCGGUUCUC
This 393-nucleotide unclassified non-coding RNA is filed under the name rhizosphere metagenome. RNAcentral describes it as "partial ribosomal RNA internal transcribed spacer region". The record is from RNAcentral.